RNAcentral lists this ribosomal RNA (489 nucleotides) under uncultured bacterium. RNAcentral describes it as "bacterial SSU rRNA". It matches the Rfam family "Bacterial small subunit ribosomal RNA", at positions 26 to 507 of the family's 1533-position model. The record is from RNAcentral.
AGGAUGAACGCUAGCUACAGGCUUAACACAUGCAAGUCGAGGGCAGCAUGAACAAGCUUGCUAUGUUUGAUGGCGACCGGCGCACGGGUGCGUAACACGUAUCCAAUCUGCCCGUUACUCGGGGAUAGCCUUCUGAAAGGAAGAUUAAUACCCGAUGGCAUGUAUUUCCGGCAUCGGAGAUACAUUAAAGAUUUAUCGGUAACGGAUGAGGAUGCGUACGAUUAGCUAGUUGCGGGGUAACGGCCCACCAAGGCGACGAUCGUUAGGGGUUCUGAGAGGAAGGUCCCCCACACUGGAACUGAGACACGGUCCAGACUCCUACGGGAGGCAGCAGUGAGGAAUAUUGGUCAAUGGUCGGAAGACUGAACCAGCCAAGUAGCGUGAAGGAUGAAGGUUCUAUGGAUUGUAAACUUCUUUUAUACGGGAAUAAAACCUCCCACGUGUGGGAGCUUGUAUGUACCGUAUGAAUAAGCAUCGGCUAACUCCGUG